RNAcentral lists this ribosomal RNA (235 nucleotides) under uncultured bacterium. RNAcentral's name for it is "partial 16S ribosomal RNA". It matches the Rfam family "Bacterial small subunit ribosomal RNA", at positions 99 to 334 of the family's 1533-position model. The record is from RNAcentral.
CGCACGGGUGAGUAACACGUAUCCAACCUGCCGUCUACUCUUGGACAGCCUUCUGAAAGGAAGAUUAAUACAAGAUGGCAUCAUGAGUCCGCAUGUUCACAUGAUUAAAGGUAUUCCGGUAGACGAUGGGGAUGCGUUCCAUUAGAUAGUAGGCGGGGUAACGGCCCACCUAGUCUUCGAUGGAUAGGGGUUCUGAGGGGAAGGUCCCCCACAUUGGAACUGAGACACGGUCCAA